CGGACUCGGAAUGCCGCGAGACUUUGCGAGGGGCCUCCGUGUGCCAAAAAUAGGCCGCGGGCAAAGCCGCGCCCAAAAAUAACCGCCCGAAGGCCGGGGCGCCAAGUUCGUCCAGCGCAAAAAGGCCACAAAAACGGGUAGGCUAUAGCCUUGGGGGGUGGGGCUGGCCCACUUUGUCCGCCGGACUCGGAAUGCCGCGAAACUUUGCGAGGGGCCUCCGUGUGCCAAAAUUAGGCCGCGGGCAAAGCCACGCCCAAAAAUAACCGCCCGAAGGCCGGGGCGCCAAGUUCGUCCAGCGCAAAAAGGCCACAAAAACGGGUGGGCUAUAGCCUUGGGGGGUGGGGCUGGCAAACUUCGUCCGCCGGACUCGGAAUGUACCACCCAAUACCGCACUCCUCCGUGGUGCCAAAAAUAGGCCACGGGCAAAGCCGCGCCCAAAAAUAACCGACCAAAGGCCGGGGCGCCAAGUUUGUCCAGCGGAAAAAGGCCACAAAAACGGGUGGGCUACAGCCUUGGAGGGUGCGGCUGGCCAACUUCGUCCGCAGGACUCGGAAUGCCGCGAGACUUUGCGAGGGGCCUCCGUGUGCCAAAAAUAGGCCGCGGGCACAGCCACGCCCAAAAAUAACCGCCCGAAGGCCGGGGCGCCAAGUUCGUCCAGCGGAAAAAGGCCACAAAAACGGGUGGGCUAUUGCCUUGGGGGGUGGGGCUGGCCAACGUCGUCCGCCGGACUCGGAAUGGCGCGAGACUUUCCGAGGGGCCUCCGUGUGCCAAGAAUAGGACGCGGAUACAGCCUCGCCCAAAAAUAACCGCCCGAAGGAUGGGGCGCCAAGUUCGUCCAGUAGAAAAAGGGCACAAAAACGGGUGGGCUAUAGCCUUGCGGGGUGGGGCUGGCCAACUUCGCCCGCCGGACUCCGAAUGGUGCGAGACUUUGUGAACGGCCUCCGUGUGCCAAAAAUAGGCCGGGGGCACAGCCGUAUGCAAAAAUAACCGCCCGAAGGCCGGGGCACCAGGUUCGUCCAGCGGAAAAAGGCCACAAAAACGGGUGGGCUAUAGCCUUGGGGGGUGGGGCUGGCCAACUUCGUCCGCCGGACUCGGAAUGCCACGAGACUUUGCGAGGGUCCUCAGUGUGCCAAAAAUAGCCCGUGGGCAAAGCCGCGCCCAAAAAUAACCGCCCGAAGGCCUGGGCGCCAGGUUCGUCCAGCGGAAAAAGGCCACAAAAACGGGUGGGCUAUAGCCUUUGGGGGUGGGGCUGGCCCACUUCGUCCGCCGGAAUGCCGCGAGACUUUACGAGGGGCCUCCGUGUGCCAAAAAUAGGCCGCGGGCAAGCCGCGCCAUAAAAUAACCGCCAGAAGGCCGGGGCGCCAAGUUCGUCCAGCGGAAAAAGGCCACAAAAACGGGUGGGCUAUUGCCUUGGCGGUUGGGGCUGGCCCACUUCGUCCGCCGGACUCAGAAUGGCGCGAGA
Molecule: long non-coding RNA, 1462 nt
Filed under: Citrus x clementina
Lineage: Eukaryota; Viridiplantae; Streptophyta; Magnoliopsida; Sapindales; Rutaceae
Description: Citrus clementina (C. clementina) long non-coding RNA (CCLE_LNC006239)
Source: RNAcentral